RNA transcript from Alligator sinensis (Chinese alligator), 1768 nucleotides. It is a transcript of the gene named sirtuin 4, with no coding region annotated. Lineage: Eukaryota; Metazoa; Chordata; Crocodylia; Alligatoridae. The transcript is spliced from 6 exons. The record is from RefSeq and is a predicted model, not a curated record.
CCUCUGAUGGUUGUUUUGUGGCUGGGGAGCUUGUUCUUGGAGUAAUUUGUUCCAUUUCUUCUUUUUAUGUAGGAUGAAUGCUGUAUAUGUCUGGUAACGAAGUAAGCACUUAUUACAAGCAUGUCAUGCUUGUUUCAAUUCUUCCUAUGCACAGUAGGAAAAGCUAGGAUUUUAUGGCUGCACCCUGGGCAUUUUGAAGACCAAUCUGCUCUGCUUUUCAGUGUGCUAUGCUCUGGAAGAUUGUGGGAGUUGUAGUCUUCCUGUGCAACUCUUGUUUUGUGAACUGCAUUUCCCAGAAGUCUGUUUUGUGCAGCCAGUGUCAUUUUUCUGGAGGUCGGUGUUCCUGAGAGGUGCCUCUGGAAGAAGGCCACCAGCAGGGUCUCUGUCUUGGAGAGAUGACACAGCAGAGUGAUUUUUCUUCUUUCUGCACAUGAGAGACCAGGGUCAGGCAGGGCACCGUCCACGGAAAACAUGUUCUGUGCUGGAAGGGCAGCAGGAGGUUGCACAACUCUCAGGUUCCACCGCAGCAGAUCCUAUUCUGUAGCCAAGACCUCUCCAAACCUGACUUUCGUGCCAGCCAGCUCUCCUCCAGAUCCCACAGAAGUGGAGGAGCUGCAGCACUUCAUUUCCCAUUCCCAGAGGCUCUUUGUAAUGACUGGAGCUGGAAUCUCAACUGAAUCAGGGAUCCCUGACUAUCGCUCGGAGGGAGUUGGACUUUAUGCCAGGACAGAUAGGCGGCCCAUCCAGCACGCCCAGUUUGUUCACAGUGCCAGUGCCCGUCAGAGGUAUUGGGCAAGGAACUUUGUAGGCUGGCCCAAGUUCUCCUCUCAUCAGCCUAAUGCAGCACACCUGGCCUUAAGGAAUUGGGAGAGACUAGGGAAACUCCACUGGCUGGUGACCCAGAAUGUGGAUGCCCUGCAUAGCAAGGCUGGAAGUCAGCAGAUGACAGAGCUGCAUGGAUGCACACACAGAGUUUUCUGCUUGGGUUGUGGAGAUCAAACCCCCCGUUCUGAGCUUCAGGAACGCUUUGAAGCCAUGAAUCCCACAUGGACAGCUGAAGGACAUGGUGUGGCCCCUGAUGGGGAUGUCUUCCUCACAGAGGACCAGGUGCGUUAUUUCCGCGUCCCAACCUGCAGCAAAUGUGGUGGGAUCCUGAAGCCAAAUGUGACAUUCUUCGGGGAUUCUGUGAGCCGUGAAAGAGUGGAUUUUGUGCACCAGCGCCUGGCUGAAUCAGAUUCUGUGCUGGUGGUAGGAUCCUCUUUGCAGCCAUCUCUUGCCUCUGCUGUUAUCUAUCCUGACUCUGGGCCUGUCAUUAACCAGGAUGUCUGAGGAACAGUUUAGGUGGUUACUUUCCAGAAAAAAGGUGUAUUAUAAAAUGUUAAAAUACACCUUAAGAGAAACUCGUCUGAUGGGAUAAAACCAAGCCUGCUUUGUUGUGAUCCUCAGGGUUUCAGGAGCCCUGAAUCAGUAUCCUAAGCAUGACCAUAGUCUCUCAGGUUUAUCAUGGGACUUCAGUUGCAGAACCAGUUGGGCAGAGCACACAGGCCAUGCAGCUGGAAGCAUUUGACCAAGCACCUGUGAUAACCAGUAGCAACUGGCCAAGAGAAUUAUGCAACAACAGACUACAGGGGGAAGGUAUACUCUGGUUACAGGUUUGCUCUUGCUGCCCAUGAGAAGAAGCUCCCAAUUGCAAUACUGAACAUUGGGCCCACAAGGUCAGAUCACUUGGCAUCCUUGAAACUGAAUUCCCGCUGCGGGGAGUUGCUGC